GCCCGAGUGGGGUAGUUUGGAUAUCCUAGAGGCCUGCGGAGCCUCGGACCUGGGUUCGAAUCCCAGCUCGGGCG
Molecule: transfer RNA, 74 nt
Filed under: Thermoplasmata archaeon
Lineage: Archaea; Methanobacteriati; Thermoplasmatota; Thermoplasmata
Description: tRNA-Arg
Rfam family: tRNA
About the family: Transfer RNA (tRNA) molecules are approximately 80 nucleotides in length. Their secondary structure includes four short double-helical elements and three loops (D, anti-codon, and T loops).
Source: RNAcentral